CCUACGGGGGGCAGCAGUGAGGAAUAUUGGUCAAUGGACGCAAGUCUGAACCAGCCAAGCCGCGUGCAGGAAGACGGCUCUAUGAGUUGUAAACUGCUUUUGUACGAGGGUAAACGCAGAUACGCGUGCCUGUCUGAAAGUAUCGUACGAAUAAGGAUCGGCUAACUCCGUGCCAGCAGCCGCGGUAAUACGGAGGAUCCAAGCGUUAUCCGGAUUUAUUGGGUUUAAAGGGUGCGUAGGCGGUCGGUUAAGUUAGUGGUGAAAUUCCGCGGCUCAACCUCGGAAUUGCCUUUGAUACUGGUCGUCUUGAGAGUAGUUGCGGUAGGCGGAAUGCAUGGUGUAGCGGUGAAAUGCUUAGAGAUCAUACAGAACACCGAUUGCGAAGGCAGCUUACCAAGCUACGACUGACGUUGAGGCACGAAAGUGUGGGUAUCAAACAGGAUUAGAUACCCUUGUAGUC
RNAcentral lists this ribosomal RNA (460 nucleotides) under uncultured bacterium. Its description in RNAcentral is "partial 16S ribosomal RNA". It matches the Rfam family "Bacterial small subunit ribosomal RNA", at positions 338 to 795 of the family's 1533-position model. The record is from RNAcentral.